Molecule: non-coding RNA, 281 nt
Organism: Melanotaenia boesemani (Boeseman's rainbowfish)
Lineage: Eukaryota; Metazoa; Chordata; Actinopteri; Atheriniformes; Melanotaeniidae
Source: RefSeq, a predicted model, not a curated record
UAUUUGCAGCCUUGUGACGCUGCCCCUGGUGAAACCCAUCACUCGUGGGUGCAACAAGGCUGCAGAAAGUAAUUCAAAGAAUGAAAAGGCGUGACUUCUGAAGGCUCAGGAGUUUCACGUGCGAUGUUCCUUGGACAGAAGGGUCCUGCUUUCCACGGUGGUGACGGUCUAGCUCUGUGGCCGUCACCUUUCUUGAGGCAGGUAGAAUAAAAUCCUGGCAGCCGGAUAUUGUCUGAAACAGGGGAAGCUUUUCCUGUCAGGCACUGUUAGCUGUCACAUUA